GACGAACGCUGGCGGCGUGCUUAACACAUGCAAGUCGAACGGAAAGGCUCCAGCUUGCUGGAGUACUCGAGUGGCGAACGGGUGAGUAACACGUGGGUAAUCUGCCCUGCACUCUGGGAUAAGCCUGGGAAACUGGGUCUAAUACUGGAUAUGACCUUUCUCCUUAUGGGGUUUGGUGGAAAGUUUUUCGGUGUAGGAUGAGCCCGCGGCCUAUCAGCUUGUUGGUGGGGUGAUGGCCUACCAAGGCGACGACGGGUAGCCGGCCUGAGAGGGUGAGCGGCCACAUUGGGACUGAGAUACGGCCCAGACUCCUACGGGAGGCAGCAGUGGGGAAUAUUGCACAAUGGGCGGAAGCCUGAUGCAGCGACGCCGCGUGAGGGAUGACGGCCUUCGGGUUGUAAACCUCUUUCAGCAGGGACGAAGCGUAAGUGACGGUACCUGCAGAAGAAGCACCGGCUAACUAUGUG
RNAcentral lists this ribosomal RNA (467 nucleotides) under uncultured bacterium. Its description in RNAcentral is "partial 16S ribosomal RNA". It matches the Rfam family "Bacterial small subunit ribosomal RNA", at positions 28 to 507 of the family's 1533-position model. The record is from RNAcentral.